AGAAUGAACGCUGGCGGCAUGCCUAACACAUGCAAGUCGAACGAAGGCUUCGGCCUUAGUGGCGCACGGGUGCGUAACGCGUGGGAAUCUGCCCUUGGGUUCGGAAUAACAGUUGGAAACGACUGCUAAUACCGGAUGAUGACGUAAGUCCAAAGAUUUAUCGCCCAGGGAUGAGCCCGCGUAGGAUUAGGUAGUUGGUGUGGUAAAGGCGCACCAAGCCGACGAUCCUUAGCUGGUCUGAGAGGAUGAUCAGCCACACUGGGACUGAGACACGGCCCAGACUCCUACGGGAGGCAGCAGUGGGAAUUUUCCGCAAUGGGCGAAAGCCUGACGGAGCAAGACCGCGUGGGGGAAGAAGGCUCUUGGGUUGUAAACCCCUUUUUCUCUGGGAAGACGCAAUGACGGUACCAGAGGAAUCAGCAUCGGCUAACUCCGUGCCAGCAGCCGC
This 448-nucleotide ribosomal RNA is filed under the name uncultured bacterium. RNAcentral describes it as "SSU rRNA". It matches the Rfam family "Bacterial small subunit ribosomal RNA", at positions 26 to 518 of the family's 1533-position model. The record is from RNAcentral.